GUCCACGCCGUAAACUUUGGAUACUAGGUGUUGGAGGUCUCAACCCCUCCAGUGCCGACGCUAACGCAUUAAGUAUCCCGCCUGGGGAGUACGGUCGCAAGAUUAAAAACUCAAAGGAAUAGACGGGGACCCACACAAGCGGUGGAGCAUCUGGCUUAAUUCGAUAAUGAGCGAGGAACCUCACCUAGGCUUGACAUCCCGAGAAUUCGCUGGAAACAGUGAAGUGCCUCACGGAACUCGGUGACAGGUGCUGCAUGGUUGUCGU
RNAcentral lists this ribosomal RNA (265 nucleotides) under uncultured bacterium. RNAcentral describes it as "partial 16S ribosomal RNA". It matches the Rfam family "Bacterial small subunit ribosomal RNA", at positions 793 to 1055 of the family's 1533-position model. The record is from RNAcentral.